Molecule: ribosomal RNA, 324 nt
Filed under: uncultured eukaryote
Lineage: Eukaryota
Description: partial 18S ribosomal RNA
Rfam family: Eukaryotic small subunit ribosomal RNA
Source: RNAcentral
CCCUUAGAUGUCCUGGGCUGCACGCGCGCUACACUGAUGUGUCCAGUAAGCACCUAACCUCUUCCGAAAGGAACGGGUAACCUUUGCAAAGCACAUCGUGAUGGUGAUAGAUUAUUGCAAUUAUUAGUCUUGAACGAGGAAUUCCUAGUAAGCACAAGUCAUCAGCUUGUGUUGAUUACGUCCCUGCCCUUUGUACACACCGCCCGUCGCUCCUACCGAUUGAAUGUUCCGGUGAGCUCUUCGGACUGCGCGGUCUGCAGUUUCUGCGUUCCGUGCGGAAAGUUGCGCAAACCUUAACAUUUAGAGGAAGGAGAAGUCGUAACA